This 190-nucleotide non-coding RNA is filed under the name Ligilactobacillus agilis. Its description in RNAcentral is "Lactobacillus agilis T-box sequence". It matches the Rfam family "T-box leader". Rfam says of the family: Uncharged tRNA acts as the effector for transcription antitermination of genes in the T-box leader family. T-boxes are found upstream of many aminoacyl-tRNA synthetase genes and some amino acid biosynthetic genes usually in Gram-positive bacteria. The record is from RNAcentral. Lineage: Bacteria; Bacillati; Bacillota; Bacilli; Lactobacillales; Lactobacillaceae.
UUACAGGCGUUGAAGUAGCCCAGUAGGAUAAUGGUCCCUGGCUAAGAGACUUGGUGGUAGCUGUAAACCAAGGCAAACCAGUUAUCUGAAUUACACUAUGGAGCUAAUAACGGGUCAUUCCGAUAUUGAUGACAGAGUUGGCUGUUUUGACAGCAAACUGGGUGGUAACGCGGAGAAUUUCGUCCCUAAU